RNAcentral lists this transfer RNA (72 nucleotides) under Pectinophora gossypiella (pink bollworm). RNAcentral describes it as "transfer RNA isoleucine (anticodon UAU)". It matches the Rfam family "tRNA". From Rfam's summary of the family: Transfer RNA (tRNA) molecules are approximately 80 nucleotides in length. Their secondary structure includes four short double-helical elements and three loops (D, anti-codon, and T loops). Lineage: Eukaryota; Metazoa; Arthropoda; Insecta; Lepidoptera; Gelechiidae. The record is from RNAcentral.
GCCUCCAUGGUCCAGUGGUCGGGCGUUGGGCUUAUGACCCGGAGGUCCCGGGUUCGAAUUCCGGUGGGGAUA